GUGCUCUCUUUGGCAGCACAUAUACUAAAAUUGAAACAAUACAGGAAGAUUAGCAUGGUCCUUGUGCAAGGAUGACAUGCAAAUUAUGAAGCAUUCUAUGUUUUA
RNAcentral lists this small nuclear RNA (105 nucleotides) under Carlito syrichta (Philippine tarsier). The record is from RNAcentral. Lineage: Eukaryota; Metazoa; Chordata; Mammalia; Primates; Tarsiidae.